GCCUUCUUAGCUCAGUUGGUAGAGCAGUGGACUCUUAAUCCAUGGGUCGCAGGUUCAAGCCCUGCAGGGGGCA
This 73-nucleotide transfer RNA is filed under the name Lactococcus lactis. Its description in RNAcentral is "tRNA-Lys". It matches the Rfam family "tRNA". Rfam says of the family: Transfer RNA (tRNA) molecules are approximately 80 nucleotides in length. Their secondary structure includes four short double-helical elements and three loops (D, anti-codon, and T loops). Lineage: Bacteria; Bacillati; Bacillota; Bacilli; Lactobacillales; Streptococcaceae. RNAcentral also lists the same sequence under 10 other names. The record is from RNAcentral.